RNAcentral lists this long non-coding RNA (242 nucleotides) under Brassica napus (rape). RNAcentral's name for it is "long non-coding RNA (BNAP_LNC009885)". The record is from RNAcentral. Lineage: Eukaryota; Viridiplantae; Streptophyta; Magnoliopsida; Brassicales; Brassicaceae.
AGAUAUUGAAGUAUGUAGGGAGAUCAUAAUCAUCAAGAAGAACAUGGAACUGAAGACUCCGCAUCAGAUUGUUGCUAGAUGUAAGUUUUGUGAAAUUUAAUAUGUUCACGUUGAAAAAAAAAAAAAUUCUGAUUUGGGUUGACUGUAAGCAUGUAUUGAAGUCAUGGUGUUGAAGGCGGUUAGCCUAAAGCAGAUGUAAAAUAAAUGACAUCAAAUUAUUAUGGUAAAUACAAAUAAUGAAA